Molecule: long non-coding RNA, 1464 nt
Filed under: Capsicum annuum
Lineage: Eukaryota; Viridiplantae; Streptophyta; Magnoliopsida; Solanales; Solanaceae
Description: long non-coding RNA (CANN_LNC021261)
Source: RNAcentral
UACAAACAAGAUUAAAAAUGUGAUUAUGUGAGGUUUAAAGGAUUCGAUAAACACCCGAUGAUAUGUUUGACGAGUCUAGAGCAACAUAAUUGAAAACUAUUCUCAACCAGAUUAGGUUUCGAGUUGUAAUGUAUUGAUCGAAAAACAAUAUAUCUAAAGAACACAAUACGUGCUCAACUAUAUGUUUAAAGAGUCUAGAGCAACAUAAUUGAAAACUAUUCUUAACCAGAUUAGGUUUCGAGUCGUAAUAUAAUAAUCGAAAAACAACAUAUUUGAAGAACUCAAAACGCGCUCAGCUAAAGGAUUCGAUACGCGCCCGAUGAUAUGUUUGACGAGUCUAGAGCAGCAUAAUUGAAAACUAUUCUUAACCAGAUUAGGUUUCGAGUUGUAAUGUAUUGAUCGAAAAAUAAUAUAUCUGAAGAACUCAAUACGUGCUCAGCUAUAUGUUUAAAGAGUCUAGAGCAACAUAAUUGAAAACUAUUCUUAACCAGAUUAGGUUUCGAGUUGUAAUGUAUUGAUCGAAAAAUAAUAUAUCUGAAGAACUCAAUACGUGCUCAGCUAUAUGUUUAAAGAGUCUAGAGCAACAUAAUUGAAAACUAUUCUUAACCAGAUUAGGUUUCGAGUCGUAAUAUAAUAAUCGAAAAACAACAUAUUUGAAGAACUCAAAACGCGCUCAGCUAAAGGAUUCGAUACGCGCCCGAUGAUAUGUUUGACGAGUCUAGAGCAACAUAAUUGAAAACUAUUCUUAACCAGAUUAGGUUUCGAGUUGUAAUGUAUUGAUCGAAAAAUAAUAUAUCUGAAGAACUCAAUACGUGCUCAGCUAUAUGUUUAAAGAGUCUAGAGCAACAUAAUUGAAAACUAUUCUUAACCAGAUUAGGUUUCGAUGCGUAAUAUAUUGAUCGAAAAACAACAUAUUUGAAGAACUCAAUACGCGCUCAGCUAUAUGUUUGAAAGAGUCUGUAGAAACAUAAUUAAAAACUAUUGUUAGCUAGAGAUCUCGAGUCAGAAAAUAUUAAUUUAUUGCUCCAUGUAGGGUAGAUCUCGAUACUCUUCCAUGUUAAAUUCAUAUCUUCUUAUUGGAAUAUCAUAUAAAUUUAUAAUAAAAUCAUUAAUACCUGAAUUAAUGAAAACCAAAGCUUUUUUCACCAUUUCUCCAAAACAUAUUUUCUAUUUCUCUAAAUAUUCUUUAAAAUUCCACUUUUAAAUAAAAUCAUUAUUUCCAGCAUCAACUAUUGAAUCCCCCAAAACAAAAAUUGAUGUAAAAUUGGGCAUGGACUGACUUUUAAUUGUGUUACACAAAAAAAGGCCAAAGAAAAAAAAUAGGAAAAAAAAAUUAUGUGCCAUGACUUAAAAUUAAAAUUUGAUCAAAGUUUGUGAUGGUUUAGAAAUAUGUGAUUGUGUACAUAAUUUUGUGUUAUAUAUGUAGCAAUAUAUUUACAAUUUUGGAGAUAUGGACAAAUGAUA